UACGGGGGGGGCAAGCGUUGUUCGGAAUUACUGGGCGUAAAGGGCUCGUAGGUGGCCAACUAAGUCAUACGUGAAAUCCCUCGGCUUAACCGGGGAACUGCGCCUGAUACUGGUUGGCUUGAGUUUGGGAGAGGGACGCGGAAUUCCAGGUGUAGCGGUGAAAUGCGUAGAUAUCUGGAGGAACACCGGUGGCGAAGGCGGCAUCCUGGACCGGCAUUGACGCUGAGGAGCGAAAGCCAGGGGAGCAAACGGG
RNAcentral lists this ribosomal RNA (253 nucleotides) under uncultured bacterium. RNAcentral describes it as "partial 16S ribosomal RNA". It matches the Rfam family "Bacterial small subunit ribosomal RNA", at positions 524 to 776 of the family's 1533-position model. The record is from RNAcentral.